AUUGAACGCUGGCGGCAGGCCUAACACAUGCAAGUCGAGCGGUAACACAGGGAGCUUGCUCCUAGGUGACGAGCGGCGGACGGGUGAGUAAUGUCUGGGAAACUGCCUGAUGGAGGGGGAUAACUACUGGAAACGGUAGCUAAUACCGCAUAAUGUCGCAAGACCAAAGAGGGGGACCUUCGGGCCUCUUGCCAUCAGAUGUGCCCAGAUGGGAUUAGCUAGUAGGUGGGGUAACGGCUCACCUAGGCGACGAUCCCUAGCUGGUCUGAGAGGAUGACCAGCCACACUGGAACUGAGACACGGUCCAGACUCCUACGGGAGGCAGCAGUGGGGAAUAUUGCACAAUGGGCGCAAGCCUGAUGCAGCCAUGCCGCGUGUAUGAAGAAGGCCUUCGGGUUGUAAAGUACUUUCAGCGGGGAGGAAGGCGUUGAGGUUAAUAACCUCAGCGAUUGACGUUACCCGCAGAAGAAGCACCGGCUAACUCCGUGCCAGCCGCCGCCGUAA
This 504-nucleotide ribosomal RNA is filed under the name uncultured bacterium. RNAcentral's name for it is "partial 16S ribosomal RNA". It matches the Rfam family "Bacterial small subunit ribosomal RNA", at positions 30 to 523 of the family's 1533-position model. The record is from RNAcentral.